This 335-nucleotide small RNA is filed under the name Oryza sativa Japonica Group (Japanese rice). RNAcentral describes it as "sRNA Os01g0936850". The record is from RNAcentral. Lineage: Eukaryota; Viridiplantae; Streptophyta; Magnoliopsida; Poales; Poaceae.
GAUGGAAUUUGAGUCAUACCAUUUCUUGCUGUAACUUAUCCCGCUCCUGGGUGGUAGUUCUGCUCUCUUCUCUCAGCUUUAUUAUCAUUUUUUCAGCCUGCAAAUCAGAAAGUUUGUGUUUCACUUCAGAAAGUAUUAUCUGGAAUAUAAGAUUAAAAUCUUAGUUUAUCAAGCAUUAUAAGCUCCAUGUUUCAGGAGGAUCUCAUUCUGAACUAUUGAUUUGUCCUGUCCAAAAUAUUACCUCUUCCAAUUUUACUUCGAGACCAUUGAGCUUUGACUUCAGGUUCUGAACAUCUUCCGUUACCUGUCCAAAAUACAGAGCAACUUCAAUAAAA